GAUCCUGGCUCAGGAUGAACGCUAGCUACAGGCUUAACACAUGCAAGUCGAGGGGCAGCGGGAAGUCAGCUUGCUGACUUUGCCGGCGACCGGCGCACGGGUGAGUAACACGUAUCCAACCUUCCCGUUACUCUGGAAUAGCCUUUCGAAAGAAAGAUUAAUACCGGAUAGUAUCGAGAGAUUGCAUGAUUACCCGAUUAAAGAUUUAUCGGUGAUGGAUGGGGAUGCGUCUGAUUAG
This 238-nucleotide ribosomal RNA is filed under the name uncultured bacterium. RNAcentral's name for it is "partial 16S ribosomal RNA". It matches the Rfam family "Bacterial small subunit ribosomal RNA", at positions 15 to 244 of the family's 1533-position model. The record is from RNAcentral.